GCAAAGACAAAGACAAAGACAAAAGAAAGGAAUACACAAGACUAAUUUCGACUUGAGCAAAAUGUGGAGAAGAACAGCGUCGAUUGUUUCUCCUUCUUCCACUUCUUUCUUUUCUUCUUCUUCCAUCUCCCUCUCCCAA
Molecule: non-coding RNA, 139 nt
Filed under: Paramoeba aestuarina
Lineage: Eukaryota; Discosea; Flabellinia; Dactylopodida; Paramoebidae
Source: RNAcentral